CUACGGGUUGCACCAGCUGCGAAUUUUUUACAAUGCACGAAAGUGUGAUAAAGCGAACCAAAGUGCUUAUCGUAUAGAUAAGCUUUUCUUCAGAGUAAAAAUCUGGAGGAAUAAGGACUGGGAAAGAUCGGUGCCAGCCGCCGCGGUAAUACCGACAGUUCAAGUGGCAUCCAACUUUAUUGGGUCUAAAACAUCCGUAGCUUGCUAUUUAAGUCUCUUGUGAAAUCCAAUGUCUCAAGCAUUGGGCUGGCGGGAGAUACUGAAUAGCUAGAGAUCGGUAGGCGUAAGGAGUACGGGCAAGGUAGUGGUAAAAUACGUUAAUCUUGCUUGGACUAACAAUUUAGCGAAGGCACCUUACGAGGACGAAUCUGACAGUGAGGGAUGAAGGCCAGGGGCGCAAAACGGAUUAGAUACCCGUGUAGUC
This 424-nucleotide ribosomal RNA is filed under the name uncultured archaeon. RNAcentral describes it as "partial 16S ribosomal RNA". It matches the Rfam family "Archaeal small subunit ribosomal RNA", at positions 323 to 746 of the family's 1478-position model. The record is from RNAcentral.